Molecule: long non-coding RNA, 699 nt
Organism: Panicum hallii
Lineage: Eukaryota; Viridiplantae; Streptophyta; Magnoliopsida; Poales; Poaceae
Exons: 2
Source: RefSeq, a predicted model, not a curated record
AUGGACUCAUAGGGACUCUUGAUGUUGAGGAGAAGGCGAGAGCAAAGGACAUACGUGGGAAAGGAGUUGUUGGUGCUUCAAGUGCCAAUCUUGUUCAGAAGAACAACUCCCACAAGAAUAAGAAAAAACCACCGCAGAACCAACUAAAGACUAAGAAGACAACCACUUUUAAGAAGAAGAAGAAGACGGGAGCUUGCUAUGUGUGCGCUAGUACGGAUCACUUUGCUGCAAAGUGUCCGAACCACAAAGGCAACGACUCCGCCAACAUGGUUAUUAGCGAGCCUGGAGGAACAUCGGGACCGGCGGGACUUCCUCCUUGCUGAUGGGGAACGGAUCACAUGCGCGUGUUCUUGGUGUUGGUACGGCAAAUCUAAAGUUUACUUCGGGGAAGACCGUGCAGCUGAAGAACGUGCAGCAUGUCCCCACCAUCAAGAAGAAUUUAGUCAGCGGCUCUCUAUUGUGUAGAGAUGGUUUCAAAUUAGUCUUUGAGUCCAAUAAAUGUAUCUUGUCUAAGUUUGGUACUUUUGUUGGAAAAGGUUAUGAAAGCGGAGACUUGUUCCGUCUUUCUUUGUCAGAUGUUUGUAAUAAAGUUGCAUACAAUGUUAUUAACGUUGAUGAAACAAAUGUUUGGCAUUCGAGGCUUUGUCACGUUAAUUUUGGUUGUAUGAUGCGCUUAGCUAAUUUGAGCUUAAUUCCAAA